GCUCUUAUGGCUCAGUGGCAGAGCAUUUGUCUUGUAAACAAAAGGUCCGUGGUUCGAUCCCGCGUGAGAGCU
Molecule: transfer RNA, 72 nt
Filed under: Aureococcus anophagefferens
Lineage: Eukaryota; Pelagophyceae; Pelagomonadales; Pelagomonadaceae
Rfam family: tRNA
About the family: Transfer RNA (tRNA) molecules are approximately 80 nucleotides in length. Their secondary structure includes four short double-helical elements and three loops (D, anti-codon, and T loops).
Source: Rfam by way of RNAcentral